RNAcentral lists this ribosomal RNA (500 nucleotides) under uncultured bacterium. Its description in RNAcentral is "bacterial SSU rRNA". It matches the Rfam family "Bacterial small subunit ribosomal RNA", at positions 10 to 507 of the family's 1533-position model. The record is from RNAcentral.
AGUUUGAUCAUGGCUCAGAUUGAACGCUGGCGGCAUGCCUUACACAUGCAAGUCGAACGGCAGCGGGCCUUCGGGGUGCCGGCGAGUGGCGAACGGGUGAGUAAUGCAUCGGAACGUGCCAUUGAGUGGGGAUAACGUAGCGAAAGUUACGCUAAUACCGCAUAUUCUGUGAGCAGGAAAGCAGGGGACCGCAAGGCCUUGCGCUUUUUGAGCGGCCGAUGUCAGAUUAGCUAGUUGGUGAGGUAAAGGCUUACCAAGGCGACGAUCUGUAGCGGGUCUGAGAGGAUGAUCCGCCACACUGGAACUGAGACACGGUCCAGACUCCUACGGGAGGCAGCAGUGGGGAAUUUUGGACAAUGGGCGCAAGCCUGAUCCAGCCAUGCCGCGUGAGUGAAGAAGGCCUUCGGGUUGUAAAGCUCUUUCGGCCGGGAAGAAAUCGCAUGGGUUAAUACCCUGUGUGGAUGACGGUACCGGAAUAAGAAGCACCGGCUAACUACGUG